RNAcentral lists this long non-coding RNA (2253 nucleotides) under Mus musculus (house mouse). RNAcentral's name for it is "small nucleolar RNA host gene 6". The record is from RNAcentral. Lineage: Eukaryota; Metazoa; Chordata; Mammalia; Rodentia; Muridae.
GAGCGCGAGCAGACGGUGCAGCAUGGCGCACAGCGGAGGCCGCGGGCGGCCGAACCCGGCGUGUCCUUGGGCGUUUCCAGGUGCAACAAAACCUGCUCAUUUGAAGGUGCUUGAACAAAUAUUUUCUAAACACUUGUCAUGGAGAGUGAUUGAAACAAGCUGCCAGGACUACAUUUGCCAAUAACAAGCAUGUAGGUGGCUGUAGUGGAUGUCCAACUUUGGGAGCUGUGAUGUCUAAAAACCCUUUAUUGUUUUGGAAAUCAGUAUCACUAUGAAAAAGCUGAUGAAUCGGGACUGCUGAAUCCUAUCAUAUCUGCACUUACACUGCCUGCUUAACUGGGUGAGAGCCAAAAACAUUUUGGGACAUGAUUAUGGAUUGCCAAACUCUAACCAGGUGGCAACUACUAAUUCCCAGCAGGACUGAAGAUCAUCUUGCAGUUGUUCUUGGGGGCAGCUGACCGGCCUUGGCAUAUGAGACAUGGCUCCAUUGAGACUAAAUCAUCAGAUGCUAAUUCACAGCAGAAAAGGUAAGCUUACAAUCCAGGCAUCAUUACUACAGGCACAUUCAACAAGACAGAAAGAAAUGGGUCAGGAAAGAAGACCUGUCGGAGACCAGCCAGAUCUGAAGAGGGACAACGGAUACAGCAGCGGAACACAGCAGCUGGUAAACAGUACACAGCAGCUCUCACCUGGGAGCGAUUCUGCAACAGCUGAAGACGUUUCUAGUGGUCUAUACUCGGGGGGAGGGGCGGGGGGGGGGGUCAGGAAUGUCACAGAGCAUCUAAUAUGCACAGGACUUCCCCACAGCAAGAAAAUUAUCUGAUCCAGUGUCAGUGCCGAGGUCAUGAAACUAGUGCAGAAUGAUAAUGCUGAGAGACAGCCAUUUUUCUUUGGUGAUAUGGCCCACUGGAGUAUGGACAGCCACACAUGUGGGCUAAAAUGGUGUCUGCGUCCGGUCCACUACAGGGCUAGGGCCUUUCAAGGAGGCAGGACGCAGGAGUUACGACUGCUUGUUCCCCAUGCCAUCGCCGGGCGGGCACUGGGAUAUGUGCUCUGGGGGUGGGGAAGUGCAGUCUGAGGUCCCUGGGGAACUGCCAGAGUUGGCUCAGUGGUUUCAGGGCCUGUGCAUAAAUAAGGCAGGACAUUAGGUCCUCAUAGGAGAGGCUCUUUAGAGGAAGACCUGCUCUAUUGUUCCCCAUUCAUUGCCAGUCCGUUGAGAAGAGGCAGUCCAUGGUUUUAAGACAUUUAUUGUCAUGGUGGGAAGUUGAUGAAUAAAAACUGGACCCCACUUUCUCAGGGAAGGCCUGAGGUUAAAUACCUUUUGCAGCGAGGAGUGUCUGGGAAGGAGAGUUUAAUUGACUAAGCUCUUCAGGCCUUUAGGUACCUCAUUAAAAUGGAGAUCUGUCUGAAGUCAAGUCCCCUACCUGUGAAGGGGCUUGGGGCGUUGCCCUUACGUGACUGAUGCCCACAGACCUAUGGAGUGAAGAGCUAUGGCCUCCUGUUAGAGCCGCCGCCAUUUAGCACAUGUCUACGAGCAUGGCAAAAUGCCUACCAUCCCUUGCAGGCUAAGGUCACCUGCUGGGUCACGAGGUUUUGAACCUAGCUCAAACCAGGCUGCAUCUCAUAGUUCCACAACACAUUCGUGUUAUAUUAGGUAGCACUAAUUGUACUUAGUGCAUUAUUAAAACAAAACAAAUCCAUGAAGUUAGGAGGGUGAUGUGUUCACAAGAGUCCUGGGAAAGGUUGGAGGGGAAAGGAUAUAGAUAUGAGCAAAAGACACUAUGUAUGCAUAAUAUUCUCAAUGAAAUCAUUAAAGAUUGUAAAAAGUUGGGUAAAGCAAAAAGAUAUUUUCAAUAAAAGAGAGGUAGUUUACCUUUUUAUUUAUUUUAAAGAUUUUAACCUAGAUUAUGUACAUAUGGGUAAAACACUAAAGUAUAAAAAUGCUCAACUUCUGACCAGGCGGUAGUGGUGCAUGACUUUAAUCCCAGUACUCAGUGCUCAGGAGGUAGAGACAGAAGGAUGGAUCUCUGAGUUUGAAAACAGCCUGGUCUAGAGAGUGAGUUCAAGGACUGUCAUGGUUACAAGAGAAAACAUGUCUCAAAAAACAAAACAAACAAAAAAAAACCAAAUAAACCAACCAACCAAAACAACAACAAAAGUAUAAAUUGUAUGUUAGAAUUUUGUUAAUGUAAAUACUGCUUUAAUACAUGGACAUUCAUUUAAAUUAAAUGGUUUUAAAGAAUUUUCUCUUUA